GAUAUAAAUUCUUGUCAUAAGGAGAAAUUAGUGAAACAUAGAUAUCUUUAUGGAAAAUAUAAUUUUUAAAUAAAACUAAAUGAACCAUCAAUAAUAGAAUCAAGAAAAUAUUCACUCAGCUUGGAUUUACAAUGUGCCCCAGCUUUGCACCUUCCUGUACCGCACAACAUUAUUCGGUCCACUUGUCGGCACCCCUCAGCGGCAACCCUUACACAGCCACCCUUCCGUAAUCCUGUUACCAAGCACGACGGCUUCUACGCACCUACGCAAUCGUCUACCUACCCUCUCUGUUCUUAUAGCCUGGUAAAAAACAAUGGAUGACACGGAUCACGAUUCAGCGAUCGUCGAAACUAACUAAAAAACAAUCUUCAAUAUUUGAGAUUUCUUUUUUUGCCUUUCUUUUGUUUGAUUUUCUAAAAAGUAAAAAAGAUAUUCUUUCAAAUCUAUAAGAAGAAUAAAAAAAAGAAGAAUCUUAUGAAUUGUAAUAGAAAGUUAAUGAAGAAACGAUCGGUUCAAGGAAACAUCAAAGAGACCAGUGGAAUUGGAAAUUGCAUGCAAAUCACAAGGAAAGAAGGAGUUUAUUUCUUCCUUUAUCUUCACAAGCUCCCUUCAUUUCCGAUCGCUUCCUUCCUUCCUGUCAAACCAUCCUCGUAGCCGCAAAUUAGCCGCCAACGUCCAAAAGAAAGUUAAAAGAGGGUUUGUUCGCCACAGCCAUUUACAUUUACAACCCCAAUGCUUCGUCUUGCAAUCUUCUGUGCCUAUCUCUUUUUAUACUGUUCAUUCUAGCUGCGGAAAUUCGUGAUCGAUUGACCGUAUCGACUGGUAUUUUUCCACCAUGAUAAUUAUUGUCUCCCGAACGACAAAGUGAUUUGCAUGAAUUUACAUCGCAAUCGAUUUUUCCUUUCAGCGGUGAUGAAUUUGCUUGAAAGUUUGAUACGAUGC
Long non-coding RNA from Apis florea (little honeybee), 942 nucleotides. The record is from RefSeq and is a predicted model, not a curated record. Lineage: Eukaryota; Metazoa; Arthropoda; Insecta; Hymenoptera; Apidae.